Molecule: ribosomal RNA, 195 nt
Filed under: uncultured bacterium
Lineage: Bacteria
Description: partial 16S ribosomal RNA
Rfam family: Bacterial small subunit ribosomal RNA
Source: RNAcentral
ACUCCUACGGAAGGCAGCAGUGGGGAAUUUUGGACAAUGGGCGCAAGCCUGAUCCAGCAGCCGCGUGUGUGAAGAAGGCCUUAGGGUUGUAAAGCACUUUCAGUGGGGAGGAAAGGUUGCAGAUUAAUACUCUGUAGCUGUGACGUUACCCACAGAAGAAGCACCGGCUAACUCCGUGCCAGCAGCCGCGGUAAU